UUUUGUUCUUUUUUAACAGUCUUAAUAAAAAGAGCACUUCUUGAUAACCUAUUUUUCUUCACCCAUGUAUCAAGAUCCACGGACAAUGUGGGAAAGAAAGAAGGUAAAGUUGAAUUGUGUUUUUAUGUAGAGGCUAUGUUUGGUGAGAGCCUCACCCAGUGAGGAUAAAACUUAUAUUUAAUAUAUUUAUAGUCUAUUUAUGAGAACCCCUAUUAGAAAAUAUAUCACCCACAAAUUAUUGAAAUAAAAUAGGGAAGAAAGCAGGAGAGAAAAAUCCAACACUGCUACAAAUGUUUGAUGAGUCUUCCUAGUCUUGACCACACUUCAGUGACCUCUCUAGUACACAAUGGUCCUUUAUAUCUGCCCUUUGAGUGACACCAUCUCAUUCACUUAUCUUACAUGAUCUUCCUGAACUCAUUUUACUGCAUGGCUUGGGUAGACCUUCUUGGUAGUCUCUGAGUAAGAUUAUAUGUGAUUCAUCCUUGUGUACUUAAGGUAGUGGAUAUGUGAUGAUUAUCAUAUAUAGGACUUUUAAGUAAAUUCAUAAUGCAAAAUCUUUAUUGACAGUAUUUUCAAAGUGUGGGAAGGUAAAUGUUCACAUAUAUGCACAUAAUACCUGGGUUUGAAGAGACACCAUAAAGACCUUAAUAUAAGUGAAAAAGUAUUUAGUGAGAAUUCCUAAGAACCCAGAGUUGAAUUACAAAUUGACAUCACCUCAUGAAUUGGAUUUCUUCUUGUAAAAUCACAGUAUGAUAUGAAAGUAUAAAAUUCAAACUAUAUUUUCUUAUUUGUUUUUUUCCUUAUGAUUCUAACUAUAUGUGGCACAUACAUUAUUCUGACCCUAAGGAAAUAUAAAACAUAUUUUUAAAACUCAGAAGUCAUUGAAGUGAGGAUUCUGUUUUUAUUAAAAUACAUUAUAUGAGUAUCUGAUUCUUACAUAAAAUCAUAGUUAGAAAUAUAAUAUAGUGGUUUAAAAUCUUUAGCUUCAGAGACUGACCAUUUGCACUCACAUUCCAGUUUUCCAGUAUUUAUUAGCUAUAUAACAUUAGCAAAGUAAUUUAUUUUCUUUCUUGGUGUAUGCAUUUGUACAAUGGGAAUAGUAGCAGAAUCUGUCUCAUAUGGUUGUUGAGAGAAUUAAAUGAGAUCAUUCAUGUAAGGUGCUUAGCACACAGUAAAUGCUUAAUAUAUGUCAUCUAUUUUACUAACUUUAUGGUAAUAGCUAAUUAACUUGAUUUUGAUUGAGGCACUUUAUUGCCCUCAUUAAAAUAUACAUUAAUCUAUCAUCUAAUAUUUAUUGGCAAGGCACUCUGGUAAGUAUUACAGUCUUAAAAAGUAUUUGCCAUAAAUAAUUACCAAAUCAUUGGAAAUUCUGACUUCUUGAGGCUUGAAUAGUUAAGCAGUUAUCCUAAUUAGGCAAGGCUCUAGGUGUACAAGUGAACUCAUGACCUGGAGAAUGGACAUGCUUAGGAGUUCAAUCAACAAAAUGGUGUGAAAGAUACUAAGCUUAAAGAUGUUUUUAAAUAUUGCACACCAGUAAAGAAUCUUAUGACUUUUAACAGUGAAAUCUGUUGCCUUCAUGUCCUACUAAAAUUCAAAAUGAUAUUAUUGGGUGUUUACUUUGGACCAGGGAUCAUGUUAGUGCUUUAUGAACAUGGCUGCAUUUAAUUCACAAUCUUCCUAUCAGAAGAGUAUAACUAUUAUCAUACAAAUGAGAAAGCUAAAGUCCAGAGAAUCUAAAUAUGUUUCCAAGUUACAGAGCUUGAGCAAAAACUGGAAUUUGAUCAUAGUUUACAUCUUCAAGACAGGUCACUGUUAUCAUGCCACCUCUCAAAUAUCUAUUCCAUAUUUAAAAACCAUUUUGGUGUCAUACAACUGGCAUCUGUACAUAACAGUAAAGUUUUUUGGAGUAACACACAUGCAGAGCAGGACCUCAGCCAUAUCAUUUGGAUCACUGUUCUCUUAUUAAAUGAGUAAUUCAGUGCAAUGCUAAAUAAAUGCAGUUUGUCCUUGGUUUGAAAGAAUUUAGCAUUUAUAGUUGCAACUAUUUUGUAGAGAUUUCAAGGUCUAUGGACAUUAAUAAUUUGUAAUUUUGUUGAGGUGAAAAUUAAAAUAUGUACCACCAUACUGGUAUGUAAGAGUCUCAUAGAAAGUGAGGACACCUAACUAAAAUAGCAUCUGCAUUUUGAUAUAUUAUUCUAUGGUGUUUCUGUUCACAGAUACUUGCAUCAAGUGAUUUCUAACAAUUUCUAUUGUUUUAAAAAAUUUUUACUUAUUUAUUAUUUUUUUAAGAUUUUAUUUAUUUAUUCAUGAGAGAUACAGAGAAAGAGGCAGUGACAUAGGCAGAGUGAGAAACAGGCUCCCUGAUGUGGAAAUCAAUCCCAGAACUGUGGGAUCAUGACCUGAGCCAAAGGCAGACACUCAACCACUGAGCCACCCAGGUGCCCCAGUUUUCUUUUUUUUCCCUUCAGAUUUUAUUUAUUUAUUUGUUUGUUUGUUUGUUUUGUUUGUUUAAAAGAGCAUGAGCAGGGGAAGGGCAAAGGGAAUGGACAGAGGUGGAAAAUCUCAAGCUGACUCUGUGCUGAGCUUAAAGCCCAAUACAGGGCUCACUCUCAUGACCCUGAAAUCAUAAAUUACUAAAGUUAGUCUGAAAGUUAUUCUUUACUGUAUUUUUUUGAACAUUAAAUUGAAAUAUUUUGAUAUAACGGAAGGCUCAUGCUUGUGAAACUGUUAUGGUAAUGUUGAUUUAGAGUUGAGGGAGGGUAUCCCUGGGUGGCUUAGUGGUUUAGUGCCUGCCUUCGGCCCAGGGUGUGAUCCUGGAGUCCCAGGAUCGAGUCCCACAUCGGGAUCCCCGCAUGGAGCCUGCUUCUCCCUCUGCCUGUAUCUCUACCUCUCUCUCUCUAUGUCUAUCAUAAAUAAAUGAAUAAAUCUUAAAAAAAAAAAGAGUUGAGGGAGAUUUUCCUAAUUAUACCAUUCAAAUAGUUACUCUGUGCAUUAAGUGAGAAAAGCCAAUAUGCCUUAUUAAAAAAAGAAACAGAAAACUUUAUAUAUUUAUUCAGAUUAAUAAUAAUAAUGCUUACAAACUACACUGAGAUUUCCUGUUUACCCAAAUGUCAUUCAUCAUUUAAUUUCAUUUUAAAAAAUUUCACUCUUGAAACAACCC
Molecule: long non-coding RNA, 3160 nt
Filed under: Canis lupus familiaris (dog)
Lineage: Eukaryota; Metazoa; Chordata; Mammalia; Carnivora; Canidae
Description: lncRNA (ENSCAFG00845028070.1)
Source: RNAcentral